Cynocephalus volans (Philippine flying lemur) is the source of this 985-nucleotide long non-coding RNA. RefSeq lists it as uncharacterized. Lineage: Eukaryota; Metazoa; Chordata; Mammalia; Dermoptera; Cynocephalidae. The transcript is spliced from 4 exons. The record is from RefSeq and is a predicted model, not a curated record.
GUGGCCUUGAGAAGAAAGAGGCUGCGAGGCGGCGACUGCGAAAUGAGCAAGCUGAAGACGGCGCCCUAUUCUGGGUGGCAGGCGACGCGGAGGGAACGAGGCAAGUGGCGGAGCGGCCGGGUAUUUAUAGAGCAACGCGCGCGCGCGCCCGGCUCGGGCCCCGCCCCUCGGUGCCGCGCGCCAAUGCACCACUCGCGCGCGGGUUCAGGGGAGCCCGGGCGGUGCGCCGAGUCCGGGCCGGGCUGAACCACUUUGCGAGGCAGGGGGAUCCAGCGGAGGCAACCGCCCCGCCUGCGAAUAUUUACCUAUCUAAAGCUGUUACAACAAGAGUUUUGCCCAUUAAAGGAAUUAUAGAGAGCGAAGGAAAAAGAGCAAAACAAAACUUGAGCCAACAAGGAACCAAUUUCGUGGAGUCGCCGUCUGGAGGGAGCCCACAGUGAGGGCUGGUGUGGUGACCUGAGCGCGCGCUGGUGACAAGGACGCCGGGCUUAAUGCUCUUAUUAGGGAGCGGCCUGCUGCUAGCAUGAGACGGACUUCGCACUGGGGAACUGAACGAGACCCCCUGUAACAGUCUCCAGCUGCCAUUGCUCAGAGAAUGAGCUCAGCUGCCACUUCCUGGGUGAAGACUUCACCUACACAGAUUUUUCACAGGAUCUUGUGCUUUCCUUCCUGGCAGCCCAAUAAAGAAGUGUGAGAUGGAAGAAUGCGUGAGAUACAGUGAAGAAGAUACUGAAGGACAUAAUAAUGUGAUGACAAUAGCUACAAUUAUUGUGACAGGCAAUGUUGUGAUAUCUACUCCUCACAACAACUCUAAUGAGGCAGUUACUAUUUCUCUUCCUGUUUUACAGAUGAAGAAACUAGCAUGUAAUUUGUCCAAGUCACACAUCAAAUCAGUAGUGGAACUGGGACUUGAGCCUCGGACUGACCUCUAAAUUCAUGCCCCUUGUUAUAGCCAAACAAUAAAUACAUCACACUCCUGAGGUAA